This is a long non-coding RNA of Pyrgilauda ruficollis (rufous-necked snowfinch), 733 nucleotides long. RefSeq lists it as uncharacterized. NCBI's taxonomy places the organism in Eukaryota, Metazoa, Chordata, Aves, Passeriformes, Passeridae. The transcript has 3 exons. The record is from RefSeq and is a predicted model, not a curated record.
CGCCUCAGGCCGGGAUAUGCCUGGAUGGGGCAGUCCUGGGAUGUUGGGGGCUUAUCCUGGAGAUCGUCUGGUCACAGCGCCCGCUGCCAGGGGAGUAGUUCUGCUGGUUGCUGCCAUGCUCCACAGGAGGAACUCAAAGCUCUGGCUAGGAUUUUUUUGCAGAAUUCUACAGUCAUUGCAUCCUGGUGGAGAACGCAGGGAUUCCUGUUACACUGCUAGCACAUAGAAAAAUUCCUGGAGGAAUGCCACAGGUUGCUGCUCUGCAUCUGCUCAGAGAAUCAACUGUGCCCAAAGCCAUCAAUUUCCCCCAGCAGUUCAAUGCACAGGAAAACUACCUGGAACUUGUAUGUUGCAGUAAGUCAUUGAGAACUUGGGGGUUUGUGUUCAUCCUAACACAGACAUGUGAUGGCAGCUGUGAAAAUAAGUGCAGUUCCCCGGAGGCAAAGCAGUGCUAUGUUUGUGCUGCAGCAGCCUGGGCCAGAGGAAGGUGAGAGAAACCACAGUGGGACAGGUGAGGCACCAAAAAUGCCUUUAUCUUACCUGUGGCCUUUUGGACAAACUCCAGUUGUAUCAACCCACAGCAUCAGACAAAGCUGCUUUUAAGAACACUGAUGCAAAAAUGAGAUCUUGGGUGAUCAUUUCUGGUUCAAGUAGCGGUUUAUAUAUUUAUUAUAAUUAUACACAACCUUGACAAUCUGUAUUGCCAUUCAAAAAUAAAUCCAAGUCUUGUCAA